UGGGGAAUUUUGGACAAUGGGCGAAAGCCUGAUCCAGCCAUGCCGCGUGAGUGAAGAAGGCCUUCGGGUUGUAAAGCUCUUUCGGUCGGGAAGAAAUAGCUAUAAAAAAUAUUUAUAGUGAAUGACGGUACCGACAUAAGAAGCACCGGCUAACUACGUGCCAGCAGCCGCGGUAAUACGUAGGGUGCAAGCGUUAAUCGGAAUUAUUGGGCGUAAAGGGUGCGCAGGCUGUGCUGUAAGUCAGAUGUGAAAUCCCCGGGCUUAACCUGGGAAUUGCGUUUGAAACUGCAGCGCUAGAGUGUGGUAGAGGAGAGUGGAAUUCCAUGUGUAGCAGUGAAAUGCGUAGAGAUGUGGAAGAACACCAAUGGCGAAGGCAGCUCUCUGGAUUGACACUGACGCU
This 400-nucleotide ribosomal RNA is filed under the name uncultured bacterium. RNAcentral's name for it is "bacterial SSU rRNA". It matches the Rfam family "Bacterial small subunit ribosomal RNA", at positions 355 to 747 of the family's 1533-position model. The record is from RNAcentral.